CUUCUCAGCGAAAAUCCUCCCGGCCCAGACUGAAACACUGCGCCGCGAUCUCUGCACAAUCUAGUGCCCGACUUCCGCCUCCCUGACCCUGGGCGGCUCCCAGCCCUGGGAACGAAGCGAAGUCUCGGCCAGAGCCGCCUUCGGAGGGAGGAAAGGGGGAGACCGGUCUCCCUUUCACGGAGCCCCGCUAGGAAACUUGAAGGUCCACUGUCCUCUCCUGUCAGAGUCCUUCAUCCUCAGCCUCCUCUGCCCGUCAAAUCCCAGCUUCUCACAUCACCCCACCCCACCCCAUCCGGGGGUAAGAAGAUCACACACCGGCUCGUCACCGAGGGUUCAGCAGUGGAAAGGGGAAAUGCGCCUUCUCCAGCAGCCUCCCGGUGUUGAGGAUGACUGGAUUCCACUCCAGAAAUGAGGUGACGGAUGAGGCCAAUGUGGGAUCUGCAGUGUGGGAUUAGUACAUGUGUGUGGUUUAUGGUUGAUGAGACUCGGUGGCCAAAGGUCCUGUAUCUGAGCUUUAUUCGUAAUAAAAGUAUUA
Molecule: long non-coding RNA, 535 nt
Organism: Hypanus sabinus (Atlantic stingray)
Lineage: Eukaryota; Metazoa; Chordata; Chondrichthyes; Myliobatiformes; Dasyatidae
Exons: 3
Source: RefSeq, a predicted model, not a curated record